RNAcentral lists this ribosomal RNA (255 nucleotides) under uncultured bacterium. Its description in RNAcentral is "partial 16S ribosomal RNA". It matches the Rfam family "Bacterial small subunit ribosomal RNA", at positions 524 to 778 of the family's 1533-position model. The record is from RNAcentral.
UACGUAGGGUGCGAGCGUUAAUCGGAAUUACUGGGCGUAAAGCGUGCGCAGGCGGUUUUGUAAGCCAGAUGUGAAAUCCCCGGGCUUAACCUGGGAAUGGCAUUUGGGACUGCAAGGCUGGAGUGUGGCAGAGGAGACUGGAAUUCCUGGUGUAGCAGUGAAAUGCGUAGAUAUCAGGAGGAAUACCGAUGGCGAAGGCAGGUCUCUGGGCUGACACUGACGCUCAUGCACGAAAGCGUGGGGAGCAAACAGGAU